Molecule: transfer RNA, 75 nt
Filed under: Lachnospiraceae bacterium
Lineage: Bacteria; Bacillati; Bacillota; Clostridia; Lachnospirales; Lachnospiraceae
Also listed under: 1 other name
Description: tRNA-Gly
Rfam family: tRNA
About the family: Transfer RNA (tRNA) molecules are approximately 80 nucleotides in length. Their secondary structure includes four short double-helical elements and three loops (D, anti-codon, and T loops).
Source: RNAcentral
GCGCGAGUAGUAGAGUGGUACUACGUCGCCUUGCCAAGGCGAAGAUCGCGGGUUCGAUCCCCGUCUCGCGCUCGA